This 3816-nucleotide long non-coding RNA is filed under the name Prunus persica (peach). RNAcentral's name for it is "long non-coding RNA (PPER_LNC007395)". Lineage: Eukaryota; Viridiplantae; Streptophyta; Magnoliopsida; Rosales; Rosaceae. The record is from RNAcentral.
GAGAAACUACCCAAAAUUAUAACCAACUUUGCACAUCACCAAGCUAGCAAUGCCAAAUAAAAACAAAGAAAUUAAAAGCUAGUUUAAAUACAACUAACACCGAAUUCAAGAAUCAAAAUCAGACAAUCAAUAUAAAUAAAGGAAGUCUAAGAGCUUCAUAUACCCAAGCGUUUAUCAUAAGAAUCAGAAUCUCAUUCCAAAUUCAACCUGAGUUAAUUACAAAACUUGUGUACUCAUUAUACCAAAUUAAUUUAACUCUAGUUACAACAAGUGCUAUAAUGUAAAAUUGCUAACUAAAAUACAUUGUAGUGACUCUUAACUUUUACUUUGGAAUUGCCUUUGAAAUUGUGAGACUUGCCUGCAUAUUUAGUUCUCUUCAAUAUCUCACACAAAUUAGAGUAGUCAAAUCAGUUAACAUCUUUCUACCAAAAAGAGCUCACCCAAUACAAACAAGCAGUAAAAGUUGUGUUUAUACUCUUAGCAUACACAGACUCUUAGCAGAUCAUGCAAUGCAAACAGUUCGUUAAGAAGUCAGUUGUUUAUUAUUUAGGAUAUAAAAAAGCAUGACUUGAGUGCCUCACACUAUUUGUUUUACUUUUGGUUCAUAUUUGGUGUGUUUUCGAGAAUAUUUAACAGCCCCUGCCCGGCCCUUAAUUUGCGAAUAGAAGGCUGCAAAUGUAAUUUUACAAGUUCUAUAUUUAGGCUGCGGCUGACACUUUAGAAAACAAAAACGAGCAUCUUGGAACUCAAACAAAAAAGCCAAACAAGACGUAUAUCACUUUUUUUUUUUUUGGUGAUUAAAGAAAUUGACAUGAACAGAACCUGCUUCAAUAUGGUCUGAAAUCAUUAUCAGAAAAGGAAAAGGGUCAGAAAGUUGGACAUUUUUUAACGUAACACAAUGGCCAUGAACUUAAAAAAAAUUAAAAAUUAAAAAUUAAGAUCGAAUUUACUUUCAUCUAAUUGAAAACAAGGUAGCCUCAUUUUCUACCAAAAAUAAGGUCCACCCUGAAUUCCCCCAGCUGCCAAACAUUGGCUUCACGAUAAGACCAAAAAAAAAUUAGGAUAGGUGAGUUGUACAGCUGGCAGUAAAAACAAAUUGGCAUGAGAAUAGAUGUCCAGUCAUUUCGGUUGACUAAUCAUACUACUUAAUAUUUAAAUGAAUGCACUGUAUGAUUUUUAUGUUUAAGGAUCUUCAUUCCAUUUGAGCCAUGACAAGGUUAAUUUCAAAUUCUGUAAUCAUCUUGAGUGCAGACUUAACAUAGUCUAAAUUAUUGAGCUUGACUGAUUACAUAAAAGAUUACAAGUUUGUCAAAAAAAAGCUAAAAAUAUUAGCUAAACAAAACCUAACCGAACUAAUAAUAGAAUUCAUUUUCUCUCUGUUUUCUUCAUUACCUCUUCUCUAUUUUAUGAUCUUCAUUUUAUCUCUGUUUUUUUCAUUGUCUCUUCUCUAUUCUCUGAUCUUAACACAAACACAAACACCCACAUUCAAUUCUUCUUUUUGAACAAUUAUAUCAUUUUGUAUUUUUUCUCAAGAUUGUUUUUUGAUUCACUCUUUUCUUGCACCUCAAGACAUUGAAACCAAUCAAUCCUCUUGGUGAAAAUAUUAAGUUCACCAAAAUAAAACUUGGGAUAUGAAUAUGAGUAUGCAAAGAUGAUUGAGCAAGUAUAUAUGUAGGUAGAAUUUCAUAUAAUUCGGGAUGUCUAUAGAGUACACUAGGUUUAGUCCAAUCUUUCUCAAUUUAUUCUACCACAUAACUAAUAAAAUGAUUUUAUAAUAAUAUAUUUAGUUCACUCCAAUAUCUUAUGUAAAUUAAAAUAUAUUUAAAUAAAAUAAGAAAAUAGUGUUAUACCCACCCAUAUAAGCAAAGAUUAAAAUCUCAAUCUUACCAUUACUUAUCAAUUCCAACAAGCAUUAUUUAUUCUAAUAUAUCAUGCAAAUGGUUGGUUAACAGGUGAAAUUUAUUCUUUAAGGGUAUAAAAGCAUGAAGGGAGUCAUCACACUAUUUGUUUCUCCAACUGUUCAUAUUUUGUGCGUUUUCAAGACUAGCCGAGGAAACUUCACUUUGAUUUUUUCAAGAGUUUGAAAAUUUUCAUAUAACUCUAGAUGUGAAUACUCUUUACACAUUUUUUACGUGGGAGACAAUAGAUAAACAAAAUAAAAAAAUUUCCGUUCAUUUUUUUAUAGAAAAAUCUAAGUGAUGAGUUUCGAGGUAUUUUACAUAUGUACACAAAAAAAUUAUAUACAAAUCGAGUUUCAUUCUGUUUUCCCUUUCUUUCAAUUAAAACCCCACACACAAUUGCAAACAGACACUUAAUAUAAUUCAUCAACGCGUUAUAACAGAGUGAACAACUAUAACUACUCCUUAUAUAUAUGCAUCAUGAGCUUCAAAAUUUUCCUCUGUAUUGUCUGAGUUGUCCUCUAUAGACUACGGUAUACUUUUUCUUUGGCUGUCUACCCCAUUUUUGAAACCUAAAUAUUUCUUUAUCUUUUAAGGGAUUUUAGGAAGAAGGGGAUCUCAACUAUUGGAUUGAUCAUUGAUGGGGGGUUGAAGAAGUUGUAAUGCAUUUUGAGCAACUUGCUAGGAGCGUAGAACUAUCAGUCUCUAGUUUACCAUAAAGCCCUUGACUGCUAAUCAGCGACUUCAAGUUGAAGCUAGGCAAACACACACAGAUAUAUAUAUAUAAAUAUAUUAUACAUUUGGGAUCUACUUAAUCAUCUACAUCCAUAAAUCUUCUUUCAGUCAAAGAGGUAGGACCAAACAUGUAAUAAGAGUCAAAAAGGGCAUCAAAUGUACGUAUUAGUGGGCCGAUGAGGAUCAGGUACCAGCACAUUCACUACUCCAAUGAUUUCAACAAGAGAACGUUGUAUUGUAUAUUUUAAGAACAUUAUCCAAAAGCAGAUUCUUAUAUAUAUAUAUAUAUAUAUAGAAAAAUUCUUUUAUUCGGACAUUCCGAUGUUAUUAUCGUGUGGACGCUAUGUAUUUUGUACUACAUUUCCCUACUUUCAUGUCUGUUUACAAUAGAUUAUGCAUGAUAAUAACGUGCGGAUAUAUAUUUCAAAUAUUUUUAAGUAGUUUUUUCUUUCUUCUGUUACUAUAUAUAGCUAGUUAGAGAGUUGCAUGGAUCUAAAAAUGAAAAGCCUAAAUUAAGGGAUAUGAUUUGAUCAAAGAACGAGAGUUGAGAGAUUAUAUAUUGGAUUAAUUUUUCGAGGUAUUAUUCUGAAUUGGGUGGGUCAAAUUUUUCAAAAGCUAGCUCUCAUUAAACCCUAGCUAAAAGUUGGUGGGUGUAGGCAUAGGGAUUAGGAUCGAUGCAUUUUGAAAUCCUUUAACUGAAUGGGGGCCAUGGUUUGCAGUUAAAGUUAUAGAGAGAGGGGGCAUUUCUUUUCUCUCUUCCACUUUACAUGUUGGAGAGGAAAGGAAUAUGAAUACAGCUCCUUUCUAACAUAAAUAUUCAACAAUGGACCACGCAUUUGUCUGAUUCUUCUCAGAAUCUGAUGAAGCGUACGAAAUGCAUCUAUCAUAUUGUAAACGAGUCAUAGUAGUAGCAAACUAGCAAAGUGAACGCGGUGCAUUAAAUCAAGAAAUUGAGCACAACGAUUUUGAGCAGUCACCAAUCACUACUAGAAAACUUCUGUAUCUGCCAUUGGUACACCCGUGACCUAUAUUAAGGUAGGUCACAGAUUUUUCCAUAGUAUGUUGGAUACGAUGAGUUUUACAGAAUAUGCGUAUGUUCCCAUUUAAGUGUGUGUUUUUUUCACGGUUUAAUUUAUAGUUUUAUCUUAAAGAAUUUCGGUGCAAUUUAGGAAACUACAAUGUA